CCUACGGGUGGCAGCAGUAGGGAAUCUUCCACAAUGGGCGAAAGCCUGAUGGAGCAACGCCGCGUGGGUGAAGAAGGUCUUCGGAUCGUAAACCCCUGUUGUUAGAGAAGAAAGUGCGUGAGAGUAACUGUUCACGUUUCGACGGUAUCUAACCAGAAAGCCACGGCUAACUACGUGCCAGCAGCCGCGGUAAGACGGAGGUGGCAAGCGUUAUCCGGAGUUAUUGGGCGGAAAGGGAACGCAGGCGGUCUUUUAAGUCUGAUGUGAAAGCCUUCGGCUUAACCGGAGUAGUGCAUUGGAAACUGGGAGACUGGAGGGCAGAAGAGGAGAGUGGAACUCCAUGUGUAGCGGUGAAAUGCGUAGAUAUAUGGAAGAACACCAGUGGCGAAAGCGGCUCUCUGGUCUGUAACUGACGCUGAGGUUCGAAAGCGUGGGUAGCAAACAGGAUUAGAUACCCCUGUAGUC
Molecule: ribosomal RNA, 465 nt
Filed under: uncultured bacterium
Lineage: Bacteria
Description: partial 16S ribosomal RNA
Rfam family: Bacterial small subunit ribosomal RNA
Source: RNAcentral